Molecule: unclassified non-coding RNA, 345 nt
Filed under: soil metagenome
Description: partial contains 5.8S ribosomal RNA, internal transcribed spacer 2, and large subunit ribosomal RNA
Rfam family: 5.8S ribosomal RNA (bases 1-120)
Source: RNAcentral
GAUGAAGAACGCAGCGAAAUGCGAUACGUAAUGUGAAUUGCAGAAUUCAGUGAAUCAUCGAGUCUUUGAACGCACAUUGCGCCCUCUGGUAUUCCGGAGGGCAUGCCUGUCCGAGCGUCAUUGCUGCCCUCAAGCACGGCUUGUGUGUUGGGCUCCGUCCCCCGAUCCCGGGGGACGGGCCCGAAAGGCAGCGGCGGCACCGCGUCCGGUCCUCGAGCGUAUGGGGCUUUGUCACCCGCUCUGUAGGCCCGGCCGGCGCUUGCCGAUCUACCAAAUUUUUAUCCAGGUUGACCUCGGAUCAGGUAGGGAUACCCGCUGAACUUAAGCAUAUCAAUAAGCGGAGGA